Molecule: ribosomal RNA, 1044 nt
Filed under: Escherichia coli
Lineage: Bacteria; Pseudomonadati; Pseudomonadota; Gammaproteobacteria; Enterobacterales; Enterobacteriaceae
Description: partial 23S ribosomal RNA
Rfam family: Bacterial large subunit ribosomal RNA
Source: RNAcentral
GUACACAAAAAUGCACAUGCUGUGAGCUCGAUGAGUAGGGCGGGACACGUGGUAUCCUGUCUGAAUAUGGGGGGACCAUCCUCCAAGGCUAAAUACUCCUGACUGACCGAUAGUGAACCAGUACCGUGAGGGAAAGGCGAAAAGAACCCCGGCGAGGGGAGUGAAAAAGAACCUGAAACCGUGUACGUACAAGCAGUGGGAGCACGCUUAGGCGUGUGACUGCGUACCUUUUGUAUAAUGGGUCAGCGACUUAUAUUCUGUAGCAAGGUUAACCGAAUAGGGGAGCCGAAGGGAAACCGAGUCUUAACUGGGCGUUAAGUUGCAGGGUAUAGACCCGAAACCCGGUGAUCUAGCCAUGGGCAGGUUGAAGGUUGGGUAACACUAACUGGAGGACCGAACCGACUAAUGUUGAAAAAUUAGCGGAUGACUUGUGGCUGGGGGUGAAAGGCCAAUCAAACCGGGAGAUAGCUGGUUCUCCCCGAAAGCUAUUUAGGUAGCGCCUCGUGAAUUCAUCUCCGGGGGUAGAGCACUGUUUCGGCAAGGGGGUCAUCCCGACUUACCAACCCGAUGCAAACUGCGAAUACCGGAGAAUGUUAUCACGGGAGACACACGGCGGGUGCUAACGUCCGUCGUGAAGAGGGAAACAACCCAGACCGCCAGCUAAGGUCCCAAAGUCAUGGUUAAGUGGGAAACGAUGUGGGAAGGCCCAGACAGCCAGGAUGUUGGCUUAGAAGCAGCCAUCAUUUAAAGAAAGCGUAAUAGCUCACUGGUCGAGUCGGCCUGCGCGGAAGAUGUAACGGGGCUAAACCAUGCACCGAAGCUGCGGCAGCGACGCUGAUGCGUUGUUGGGUAGGGGAGCGUUCUGUAAGCCUGCGAAGGUGUGCUGUGAGGCAUGCUGGAGGUAUCAGAAGUGCGAAUGCUGACAUAAGUAACGAUAAAGCGGGUGAAAAGCCCGCUCGCCGGAAGACCAAGGGUUCCUGUCCAACGUUAAUCGGGGCAGGGUGAGUCGACCCCUAAGGCGAGGCCGAAAGGCGUAGUCGAUGG